UAGGGAAUCUUCCACAAUGGACGCAAGUCUGAUGGAGCAACGCCGCGUGAGUGAAGAAGGUCUUUCGGAUCGUAAAACUCUGUUGUUAGAGAAGAACACGAGUGAGAGUAACUGUUCAUUCGAUGACGGUAUCUAACCAGCAAGUCACGGCUAACUACGUGCCAG
Molecule: ribosomal RNA, 165 nt
Filed under: uncultured bacterium
Lineage: Bacteria
Description: partial 16S rRNA
Rfam family: Bacterial small subunit ribosomal RNA
Source: RNAcentral